This 1252-nucleotide ribosomal RNA is filed under the name Bacillus velezensis. Its description in RNAcentral is "bacterial SSU rRNA". It matches the Rfam family "Bacterial small subunit ribosomal RNA", at positions 76 to 1313 of the family's 1533-position model. The record is from RNAcentral. Lineage: Bacteria; Bacillati; Bacillota; Bacilli; Caryophanales; Bacillaceae.
GAGCUUGCUCCCUGAUGUUAGCGGCGGACGGGUGAGUAACACGUGGGUAACCUGCCUGUAAGACUGGGAUAACUCCGGGAAACCGGGGCUAAUACCGGAUGGUUGUUUGAACCGCAUGGUUCAGACAUAAAAGGUGGCUUCGGCUACCACUUACAGAUGGACCCGCGGCGCAUUAGCUAGUUGGUGAGGUAACGGCUCACCAAGGCGACGAUGCGUAGCCGACCUGAGAGGGUGAUCGGCCACACUGGGACUGAGACACGGCCCAGACUCCUACGGGAGGCAGCAGUAGGGAAUCUUCCGCAAUGGACGAAAGUCUGACGGAGCAACGCCGCGUGAGUGAUGAAGGUUUUCGGAUCGUAAAGCUCUGUUGUUAGGGAAGAACAAGUGCCGUUCAAAUAGGGCGGCACCUUGACGGUACCUAACCAGAAAGCCACGGCUAACUACGUGCCAGCAGCCGCGGUAAUACGUAGGUGGCAAGCGUUGUCCGGAAUUAUUGGGCGUAAAGGGCUCGCAGGCGGUUUCUUAAGUCUGAUGUGAAAGCCCCCGGCUCAACCGGGGAGGGUCAUUGGAAACUGGGGAACUUGAGUGCAGAAGAGGAGAGUGGAAUUCCACGUGUAGCGGUGAAAUGCGUAGAGAUGUGGAGGAACACCAGUGGCGAAGGCGACUCUCUGGUCUGUAACUGACGCUGAGGAGCGAAAGCGUGGGGAGCGAACAGGAUUAGAUACCCUGGUAGUCCACGCCGUAAACGAUGAGUGCUAAGUGUUAGGGGGUUUCCGCCCCUUAGUGCUGCAGCUAACGCAUUAAGCACUCCGCCUGGGGAGUACGGUCGCAAGACUGAAACUCAAAGGAAUUGACGGGGGCCCGCACAAGCGGUGGAGCAUGUGGUUUAAUUCGAAGCAACGCGAAGAACCUUACCAGGUCUUGACAUCCUCUGACAAUCCUAGAGAUAGGACGUCCCCUUCGGGGGCAGAGUGACAGGUGGUGCAUGGUUGUCGUCAGCUCGUGUCGUGAGAUGUUGGGUUAAGUCCCGCAACGAGCGCAACCCUUGAUCUUAGUUGCCAGCAUUCAGUUGGGCACUCUAAGGUGACUGCCGGUGACAAACCGGAGGAAGGUGGGGAUGACGUCAAAUCAUCAUGCCCCUUAUGACCUGGGCUACACACGUGCUACAAUGGACAGAACAAAGGGCAGCGAAACCGCGAGGUUAAGCCAAUCCCACAAAUCUGUUCUCAGUUCGGAUCGCAGUCUGCAACUC